Molecule: ribosomal RNA, 510 nt
Filed under: uncultured Glomus
Lineage: Eukaryota; Fungi; Glomeromycota; Glomeromycetes; Glomerales; Glomeraceae
Description: bacterial SSU rRNA
Rfam family: Eukaryotic small subunit ribosomal RNA
Source: RNAcentral
AGCAGCCGCGGUAAUUCCAGCUCCAAUAGCGUAUAUUAAAGUUGUUGCAGUUAAAAAGCUCGUAGUUGAACUUCGGGAUCAAUUGAUUGGUCAUGCCCUGGUAUGUACUGUUCACAUUGGUUCUCACCUUCUAAUGAACCAUAAUGUCAUUUAUUUGAUGCUAUGGGGAAUUAGGACUGUUACCUUAGAAAAAUUAGAGUGUUUAAAGCAGGCCCACGCUUGAAUACAUUAGCAUGGAAUAAUGAAAUAGGGCGUUCGAUCUUAUUUUGUUGGUUUCUAAGAUUGACGUAAUGAUUAAUAGGGAUAGUUGGGGGCAUUAGUAUUCAAUUGUCAGAGGUGAAAUUCUUGGAUUUAUUGAAGACUAACUACUGCGAAAGCAUUUGCCAAGGUAUGUUUUCAUUAAUCAAGAACGAAAGUUAGGGGAUCGAAGACGAUCAGAUACCGUCGUAGCCUUAACCAUAAACUAUGCCGACUAGGGAUCGGAUGAUUGUAAUUUUUAAUGACUCAUUC